AUGCACUGCAUCCCAAUCACUCACACUCACAGAGAAAACUGAUAAAGCUUAUACUGGGAGCUGGGGGCAUGUACUAUGCCAAGGCCUAAUUUUCUUUUCUGGAAAAACCUUAAAGGCUGCCAUAAGGCUCUUCUCUGAAAAAAAAUCUACUUAAGUUCACUUUACAAUCACCAUGUAAUGCGUAUAUCUAACUGAAGCUUGAAAUUAAUUGUGAAUGUUCUGAAAAAAAAGUCACUGCAGGAUCAUUUCACCAAGAUCCUCUGCAAGAGUACAAAGGUGGCAGGACAGCAUGUGCUCAGAAGGAGAGAGACUGCUGGUGGCGGCCCCCGGGCGGCGCGGUGUCCUGGCCGAGUAGUGUGGGAGCGAGGCAGCGGUUACCUGCGGGGGCCUCCGGGGGGCGCCGGCUCUCGGGGGCCAGAGCAUCGGCCAG
Molecule: long non-coding RNA, 430 nt
Organism: Anguilla anguilla (European eel)
Lineage: Eukaryota; Metazoa; Chordata; Actinopteri; Anguilliformes; Anguillidae
Exons: 3
Source: RefSeq, a predicted model, not a curated record